Non-coding RNA from Labrus mixtus (cuckoo wrasse), 547 nucleotides. Lineage: Eukaryota; Metazoa; Chordata; Actinopteri; Labriformes; Labridae. The record is from the annotation of a RefSeq genome assembly.
UGCUUCAUAUGUUUGAUUGUAUGCAAACUCAGUGAGCUUCCUUGUUACUCAGCUAUAAAAACUUCCCAUCAGGCCGUCAGUGGAGUUCACAGCACGUCACUUUCAACAUCAACCAUGUUUUCUGUAGCUCUGCUGCUGCUGCUGGCAGCUGGAUGUGUGAAGUGUGAACAGUUGACACAGCCAGCCUCUGUGACUGUGCAGCCAGGUCAGAGUCUGACCAUCACCUGUCAGGUCUCUUAAUCUGUUAGCAGCUACUACACAGCCUGGAUCAGACAGCCUGCAGGGAAAGGACUGGAGUGGAUUGGAAUGAGAUACACUGGAGCCGCUUACUACAAAGAUUCACUGAAGAACCAGUUCAGUAUCGACUUAGACUCCUCCAGAAACACAGCGACUCUGAACGGACUGAAUAUGCAGCCUGCAGACACUGCAGUGUAUUACUGUGCCAGAGACCCACAGUGACACAACCCAUCAGUAGAGCUGAACAAAAACCCCUCAGAGCCUGAACACCAGUAACAUGAAGCCACCAGAGGAGGAGCCCUCACACCAA